UACGUAGGGUGCAAGCGUUAUUCGGAAUUACUGGGCGUAAAGCGUGCGCAGGCGGCUUUGCAAGUCAGAUGUGAAAUCCCCGGGCUCAACCUGGGAACUGCAUUUGUGACUGCAUGGCUAGAGUGCGGCAGAGGAGGAUGGAAUUCCGCGUGUAGCAGUGAAAUGCGUAGAUAUGCGGAGGAACACCGAUGGCGAAGGCGAUCCCCUGGGCCUGCACUGACGCUCAUGCACGAAAGCGUGGGGAGCAAACAGG
Molecule: ribosomal RNA, 253 nt
Filed under: uncultured bacterium
Lineage: Bacteria
Description: partial 16S ribosomal RNA
Rfam family: Bacterial small subunit ribosomal RNA
Source: RNAcentral